Molecule: long non-coding RNA, 1591 nt
Organism: Callithrix jacchus (white-tufted-ear marmoset)
Lineage: Eukaryota; Metazoa; Chordata; Mammalia; Primates; Cebidae
Source: Ensembl
GGUGUUGUAUCUGAAGCUCUUUGGUUCUAUUUGUUUAACAAAUAUUAAUUGAGGACUUUCUAUGUGCCAAGCCCUGUUCUAGGCAUAGGAGACACAGCACUCACUUAGAAGACACAAUUUCAUGGGACUUUCAUUCUAUUUACUGCGUGUGGAGAAACAUCUCAGACUGACCUAGACAGAAGAGGACACGUGCAAGCUUAUAUGACUGAGACAACAAAGGGUACUCUUCAGGCAUGCUGGGAACCAGGAGCUAAGGGAAGUCUUCCACUUUUUUCUCUUAGGGUCUCUCAGUUCUGUUUCUCUCUUUUUUUUUUCUUUUCUUUCCUUCAUCAUCAGGCAGGCUAUUCCUGUGCAGUGACAAAAUGGAUGCCAGCAGCUCCAGGCUUAUGUUAACAAGCUGAGAGAGAGUCUUCCUUGCUGAAUGGGUCCAGCAAAAACCCCAAACUUAAUUCUCAUUGGCUGGAUUUGGUCACAUGGGCAUAUCCCUGAUCACAUGACUAAGGCCAGGAGACUGAGACAUUCUGAUUGGCUGGGCCUGGGGCACACACUCAGUCCUGCCCCAGCAAAUGGGGUCAUCACCAGGAGAACCAUAGGGAUUGAGAAUAGUCGUUUCUCAAGGAGCUCUCAUAAUCCUGGAGGAAAUCUGCCUCAUGCUGGAGUGGGCAGGAAGGGAAGAGCGCAGGAAAGGAAGAGCACAGGAAGGAGGGAGGCAGACGCUGCUGGGAGUUCCUGCUUCUCCAGUCUUGAGACUAAGACCCAGUUUCAGGCCUAUCAAUUAGUGUCAAGGGGAAAGGUAAAUCCUGCUCCAUCCAGGGCCAGAGGUAACCCCCCACCCCUUGCUCCACACCCCAGGGACAGGUACCAUGGGAAAGGAGGGAGGCAGGACCUCCCGCCCCUCUCAGGCUUCCUCAGAAGCCUUUGCCACCUAGGGACCCCUCCCUGCAUCCCCCUCCUAUGGUCUCCCAUUUGGGACCUUGGAAAGAAGAGGCUGUUGGAAUGCUUUAGGAGACAUGGCAUGUGUCCCAGCCCGAGCCAUCUUGAUAGCAAAACUGACACCAUAAUCCCAAUGCCUAAUUGCACACCUUCUCCCUCUCACCUUCCCAGCACAGUGAGGUUGCUGAGAAGAGAACAUGAACACAGAGGCUAAGAGUGAAUGGUUUUUGUUGCUGUUUUGGUUUUAUUUUGUUUUGAGAUGGGAGUCUUGCUUUGUUGCCCAGACUGAUCUUGAAUUCCUGGGCUUGAGUGAUCCUCCUGCCUCAGACACCUGAGUAGCUGAGAUUAAAAGUGUGCGCUGCUAUCACUGGCUGAGUGGAUGGUUUGGAUUCAAACUCUGUUGACAAAUACUCUCGGUUGCCUAUGUAAUAUAUCUCCCACUGCUUCACUCAGGCUACACCCCCUGCCACAUACAUCAUCACCACCAUCAUCAAAGAUCACUUCCUUGCAGUGACAGUAAACCCAGCUCCAAGCAAUGGACUAUGAUUGGUGUAAGCCAAGGAUCAGCAAACUAUGGCUUGAGUGCCAAGUCUGAAUGCCCCCUGUUCUUAUAUGGCACAUGAGCUAAAACGAUUUUUAACAUUUUUAUCAAAUGGUU